Rhododendron vialii is the source of this 501-nucleotide long non-coding RNA. RefSeq lists it as uncharacterized. The transcript is spliced from 5 exons. NCBI's taxonomy places the organism in Eukaryota, Viridiplantae, Streptophyta, Magnoliopsida, Ericales, Ericaceae. The record is from RefSeq and is a predicted model, not a curated record.
GAGAGAGAGAGAGAGAGAGAGAGAGAGAGAGAGAGAACCGAAUAGGAACAGGAAGAGGAGAAAGAGGAAAGGGAAAACCAAGCUAGAAGGAAAAAAAUCCUAGCUUUGCUGAUUGAAAUUCAAGUAGGAGGUUGGUGUGACACGUGAAUCGAGCACCUGGUACUGUUUGGGAUAUCCUUCUAAGGGCAUUGCUAUUGCGCUCAAGUGCGGAGCAACUAAGGCACAAUUUGAUAGCACGUUAUCUCUAUGAUGGUACGUUCAAAGGCCAAAGCUAGGAAAUCAGUACUCCCACCUAUGAAAGUGCAGGUCAAGAUGGGUGCAAAAGUUCACGAGGGAAGUAGUUCACACCAGACGCAACGGAAACCUAGUUGUUUCGCUGUUUAUGUGAAGGAUUUUACUCGAGGUCUAAAGGCAAUAUUUGAAGAAGACAAUAUAAUAAAACAAACAGAGGUUAGGAUUGAGGGAUGGAAAUAAAUUGUAUUUUUUUUAUCAGUACCAUUU